UGCGGGUUGAAUGCAAUUCUCGUUUCAGUAGUUGGGGACUGAACUUUGGGAUUACUUCUAAUGCUCAGGAAAAGAUCAGAACAGCCUGAAGAGGAACAAGAGACAUGGCUCUCCUGGAAUGUAUAAUUUUUGCUUCCUUCUGUGCUGUAAUCCUGGGAACACCAAUGUCUUUAUUAGCUCCAUCUGGAGGUUUAAGGGCAUCACAUAAUGAAAGACAAUUUCUAAAUACCUUAAAUCUCUCUGCUUCAGGAAGCUCUACCUCAUAUUGCUCUGCUUGGAACCCUGUUUCCUGGACACUGCUGGCAGUAGCCAUCAUAGCUUUUCUUGCUUUCAUUG
Molecule: long non-coding RNA, 336 nt
Organism: Lacerta agilis (Sand lizard)
Lineage: Eukaryota; Metazoa; Chordata; Lepidosauria; Squamata; Lacertidae
Exons: 4
Source: RefSeq, a predicted model, not a curated record